This is a long non-coding RNA of Oncorhynchus tshawytscha (Chinook salmon), 2852 nucleotides long. Lineage: Eukaryota; Metazoa; Chordata; Actinopteri; Salmoniformes; Salmonidae. The record is from Ensembl.
CCAGAUUAGGCCUCAUGACUGCUGUCCAAACCACAUCAAGAGAUCCAAAGCUGCAUCCUAAUAUUAGUGAUGGGAUAUGUUAUUGGGUUCUGGUUUCUUUAGGGUACUGUCUAUUCAGCCACACCAACCUCACGGUUCUAUAAUGUCUGUGUUUCAGGCUUCAUUGAGUCAGUGUGUGUGUGUGUAGUUCAAAUGAAAGCAGAAUGGGAAAACCGAAGUAACCCGUGAACAUGUCAGAAGCUGUAUCGUGACUCUGUUCACUUCCUCUUCCUCGUCCUUUCGAGUGAGUGAGUGAGUGAGUGAGUGUGAGAGUGUGAGAGAGAGAGGGAGAUACAGCGAUACACACAGCGAAAUCAUAUGAAAGGUGCUAAGGCCGGAAGUGUUCGGAAAGAGGAAGUUGAGAGUUGUGAGUCAGAGACAAGAAAUUGGUGUGAAGACAGAGAUACACUCAGAGAAACAAGGCAUGAACAAAUUAGAGUAAGUAUGGUGAAGUGGAAAAAAGGACAGAGGUAAAAAACAAACAACGGAUGAAACUGAACUGGAAAACACAACAAAAAGGCAACAAGUGAAGAGGAAAGGAGAAGGCUGAACGUUGCGACAGAUGACAGAGUCGGAUAUGAGAAAACGCCGUGUCGGCACUCUUCUGGUCCUCAUGCUGAUACAGACAGGCAUGACAGACAGUGGGAUUUCUGUAUCUCACAAAUGGCAUGGAGAUUACCUAUCUAUCACCUGUCGUCUCAUGGGGGACAAAGACACUGUUUCUCAGAUCAACUGGGAGAUGACCAGCAGUUCGAACCACACCACCACCAGAUUGAAACUGGGCAUCUUCCACCCCGUGUUUGGUACCUACGUGUUCCCGAAGUACAACGAUACUGUGGAGAUCCAGGGUAACGCCUCCAGCGGCCAUUACACGCUCAGGCUGAAAGGUAGCACUGUGUUGGAGGAGAAUCAGUUCUGCUGUAAAUUCAUGACCUUUCCCUCUGGAGGACUGGAGCAGUGUACAAAUACCAGGAUUAAUGAAAGCACAGAGGAGGCCAAGGUGUCAGAAGGCCCACAGGGUUUACUAGAGGAGAGACAAGUGGAGCAGUGGGCUCUGCUAGUAAUGGGACCUACCAUCUGUCUCCUCAGUAUCGCAAUCUCUCUCUACUACUGCUUGAAGUAUUGCUGCAGACACUGCUGCCGCAGGAGGCGAUUGUUCGAGGUGGAGACUUAUCUGACAGACCAGCACACAGACUCGGAGGAGGUCACAGAGGAGCCACCCCAUCAACCCCCCCUUCCCUCACCUCCUCCCCUCCAGCUCCAGGGUUUUGACCCCUCUAAGCUGUACACUAAGAUCAAGCAGGAUCUGCUGUAUGGACGACUGUGGAAGGCCUACCAGGGGACAGCUAAGGCCUGGGACCCCACAACACAGCAGGGACCACACCAGCAAGGGCCACAACAAGGGGCAGAACUAGGGCCACAAAAGGUAUAUCUUUCUUUCAAAAGUUUUUUAAAAUGAAUAAUGACUAUGCAUAAGGAAACAUUGCCUUACAAAACAGUCAAUUGAAAACAAAGAAAUUGAAAAACAUUAUGUAAUGUUUGUUGAAGCCUGUGCCUCAUGCCAAAUAACACAGAAAUCACACACAUACUGUAGAGUAUUUGAUAAGGUCAUCAUCGUCAUCAGGUCUAUUUUCUUCUGGGGGAUCAUCGGGUGUCACAGAGAGAGGAACCAGAAGAACCAGAACUAGAACCUAAUCUAGAACAAGAACAAGACCCUCAACCAACCCUUGAAGGAACCGUGGAACCACAGACUGAGCCUGAACCUAUCCAUCCAUUAGCCCUGGAACCUGGAACACAGAUGGAGGUUCAAGAACCAGAAUGUAAUUUAGAACUAGAACCCAACUUCCCAUCAACCCUUUCUGCACGGAGGGGGGAACUGGAAUCAGACAUAGGAACAGAGAAAGAGGAAAUUGAAGAAACCAGAGACUAACCCUUCAGCGAGGAGGUUCAUGAAGGGAAGGUGUGUUGUGUUGUUGUGUGUGUGUGCGGGCCGUGCGUGUGUGCGUGUGUACGUGUGUGUUGGGAGGAAUAAUGCACUGUUGACAUUGGGUGAAUAACCCUGACCUCCUAAGGUUAGCUGUCAAUCAAUACGAUUAAUAAUUAUUGCCCCAGUGGGAAAUUUGUAGUGAAAAUUAAACUCACAGGUAAUCGCCAUGGUUUUUUGUUUACUGUGAACAUCGUACAUGUGGUUAGACGUCUCGGCCAUCACUCAGACGUUUCUCUCUCUCACACACACACACACACACACAGACAGACAGACAGACAGACAGACAGACAGACAGACAGACAGACAGACAGACAGACAGACAGACAGAGACAGACAGACAGACAGACAGACAGACAGACACCACACACACACUGGUCAAUGGGGUUUGAAGUCUCGGCCAUCGCUCAGAUGUUUCUCACAUUUGAGCUCACAACAGUGUGGCAUACAGUAACUGUAUGAUGUGCGGUGUGAAUAGAACAUUAUGCUUUUGAAUAUAGUAAUGGGUUGAAUGACCUUUAGAUUCUAAAAAAGAGCUUUUAUAGCCAACUUUAUAGCCAACACUGUAAGGAACAAGACAGUGAGUGAUUUUUAUUUUGUGUAUCUGGUUUUGUGAUUGCAAUUUCUGUAUAUAAUGUUUAUUUCUUUGUUUCAAUUAAAAAUCAGACUAGCAAAAGUGUUUGAGUCCUUCACUUGAUAUCUAGAAUAUGCCUGCUUUUUUUGGGGGGCCACUGGGGGACGACACAAGACCAUUUAUUCACUAACCUCAGUCCCAGGAAAUUUAGCACAACGCAUACGUCAACGAUUCAUAGUUGGCCUUAGUGGGAGU